AGUGGGGGAUAACGUAGCGAAAGUUACGCUAAUACCGCAUAUGCCCUGAGGGGGAAAGGAGGGGAUCGUAAGACCUUUCGCUUUCGGAGUGGCCGAUAUCAGAUUAGCUAGUUGGUGGGGUAAAGGCCUACCAAGGCGACGAUCUGUAGCGGGUCUGAGAGGAUGAUCCGCCACACUGGGACCGAGACACGGCCCAGACUCCUACGGGAGGCAGCAGUGGGGAAUUUUGGACAAUGGGGGCAACCCUGAUCCAGCCAUGCCGCGUGAGUGAAGAAGGCCUUCGGGUUGUAAAGCUCUUUCGGACGGAAAGAAAUCCUAUUCGCUAAUACCGGGUGGGGAUGACGGUACCGUAAGAAGAAGCACCGGCUAACUACGUGCCAGCAGCCGCGGUAAUACGUAGGGUGCGAGCGUUAAUCGGAAUUACUGGGCGUAAAGCGUGCGCAGGCGGUUUUGUAAGACAGAUGUGAAAUCCCCGGGCUUAACCUGGGAACUGCAUUUGUGACUGCAAGGCUAGAGUGCGGCAGAGGGGGGUAGAAUUCCA
RNAcentral lists this ribosomal RNA (541 nucleotides) under uncultured Gallionellaceae bacterium. RNAcentral describes it as "bacterial SSU rRNA". It matches the Rfam family "Bacterial small subunit ribosomal RNA", at positions 135 to 671 of the family's 1533-position model. The record is from RNAcentral. Lineage: Bacteria; Pseudomonadati; Pseudomonadota; Betaproteobacteria; Nitrosomonadales; Gallionellaceae.